This 86-nucleotide signal recognition particle RNA is filed under the name Bacillota bacterium. RNAcentral's name for it is "signal recognition particle sRNA small type". It matches the Rfam family "Bacterial small signal recognition particle RNA". Rfam says of the family: The signal recognition particle (SRP) is a universally conserved ribonucleoprotein involved in the co-translational targeting of proteins to membranes. Archaeal SRP consists of a 7S RNA and homologues of the eukaryotic SRP19 and SRP54 proteins. Lineage: Bacteria; Bacillati; Bacillota. The record is from RNAcentral.
GCUUAUGCACAACAAAUAUGCUGUAAACUGGUCAGAGUCGGAAGGCAGCAGCCAUACCAGCCACUAUUUGUGUGUGCUUUUUUAUU